GUAACAAGGUUUCCGUAGGUGAACCUGCGGAAGGAUCAUUAUCGUAGGGCUUCGGCCCUGUCGAGAUAGAACCCUUGCCUUUUUGAGUACCUUUCGUUUCCUCGGCAGGCUCGCCUGCCAAUGGGGACCACAAAAAACACUUUGCAGUACCUGUAACAGUCUGAACAAACAAAACAAAAAUUAAAACUUUCAACAACGGAUCUCUUGGUUCUGGCAUCGAUGAAGAACGCAGCGAAAUGCGAUAAGUAGUGUGAAUUGCAGAAUUCAGUGAAUCAUCGAAUCUUUGAACGCACAUUGCGCCCUUUGGUAUUCCUUAGGGCAUGCCUGUUCGAGCGUCAUUUAAACCUUCAAGCUAAGCUUGGUGUUGGGUGACUGUCCGCUUCACUGCGGACUCGCCUCAAAAUUAUUGGCGGCCGGUACAUUGGCUUCGAGCGCAGCAGAAACGCGAACUCGGGCCCGUCGUAUUGGCUCCCAGAAGCUAUCUUCACAAUUUUGACCUCGGAUCAGGUAGGGAUACCCGCUGAACUUAAGCAUA
Molecule: ribosomal RNA, 535 nt
Filed under: Ascomycota sp. ARIZ OCOak2-6
Lineage: Eukaryota; Fungi; Ascomycota
Description: eukaryotic LSU rRNA
Rfam family: 5.8S ribosomal RNA (bases 185-338)
Source: RNAcentral